CCUACGGGUGGCAGCAGUGGGGGAUAUUGCACAAUGGGGGGAACCCUGAUGCAGCGAAGCCGCGUGGGUGAAGAAGCGCCCCGGCGCGUAAAGCCCUGUCAGCAGGGAAGAAAAUGACGGUACCUGAAGAAGAAGCCCCGGCUAACUACGUGCCAGCAGCCGCGGUAAUAAGCAGGGGGCAAGCGUGAUCCGGAUUUACUGGGGGUAAAGGGGGCGCAGACGGCGAUGCAAGCCAGGAGUGAAAGCCCGGGGCCCAACCCCGGGACAGGUCUUGGAACGGCGUGGCUGGAGUGCAGGGGGGGCAGGCGGAAUGCCUGGUGUAGCGGUGAAAUGCGUAGAUAUCAGGAGGAACACCGGUGGCGAAGGCGGCCUGCUGGACUGCAACUGACGUUGAGGCCCGAAAGCGUGGGGAGCAAACAGGAUUAGAUACCCGGGUAGUC
Molecule: ribosomal RNA, 440 nt
Filed under: uncultured bacterium
Lineage: Bacteria
Description: partial 16S ribosomal RNA
Rfam family: Bacterial small subunit ribosomal RNA
Source: RNAcentral